This 466-nucleotide long non-coding RNA is filed under the name Elaeis guineensis (African oil palm). RNAcentral describes it as "long non-coding RNA (EGUI_LNC052404)". The record is from RNAcentral. Lineage: Eukaryota; Viridiplantae; Streptophyta; Magnoliopsida; Arecales; Arecaceae.
CCACGUUCUAUAACAAUUGAAUCGGACAAGAAAUUUUGUAUUCGCACGAAAACUCUAGUCGAACAAAAUUACACGUAAAACAGAAUGCUCUUUAGGGCCAGUCCACCAGGUUCUACAUGAGUUCCAAAGGCCUACUAACAAAUCAUCGAGGGACCUCAAGAAGAAGUUGAGAUCUGUGUCCCCAUGUCACAGAAAGAUGCAUAUGUAUAUAAAUUUGAAAAGGAAUAUUUUGCAUAUAGCUAUCUUUUUUUCCAGCAGCAAGAAGUUGGAAGAUAUCUUAGAUAUCAUGUUGCUUUGAAUACAAAGUUGGCAGCUGAAACCAAACAAUUCCGUAUUGUCAAAACCACAGUGAAGUACAAGAAACGAAGAAGAAAGGAAUAAUAGAGGCAUCAUAAGAGCCCAACAUGACAAUCAGAUCCCUAUCUAAGACAAUCAAAUUUAUCUAUCUGCAGAAAGAAGAUUCUCA